This 250-nucleotide ribosomal RNA is filed under the name uncultured bacterium. RNAcentral's name for it is "partial 16S ribosomal RNA". It matches the Rfam family "Bacterial small subunit ribosomal RNA", at positions 959 to 1209 of the family's 1533-position model. The record is from RNAcentral.
ACGCGAAGAACCUUACCCGGGCUUAAAUUGCAGACGAAUUAUCUGGAAACAGGUAAGCCGCAAGGCGUCUGUGAAGGUGCUGCAUGGUUGUCGUCAGCUCGUGCCGUGAGGUGUCGGCUUAAGUGCCAUAACGAGCGCAACCCUUGCUGUCAGUUACUAACAGGGUUAAGCUGAGGGACUCUGACGGGACUGCCAUCGUAAGAUGUGAGGAAGGUGGGGAUGACGUCAAAUCAGCACGGCCCUUACGUCC